UAACGCACACCAACGUACACGUGCAGGCUGAUUAAUUGGGUAGGCAAGCCAUAUGUUGGAAUGGGUGGUGCUUUUU
This 76-nucleotide ribosomal RNA is filed under the name Pyricularia oryzae 70-15. Lineage: Eukaryota; Fungi; Ascomycota; Sordariomycetes; Magnaporthales; Pyriculariaceae. The record is from RNAcentral.